GUGGCAUUAGCUCAAUGGCUAGAGCAUCAGGUUGUGGACCUGACGGUUGGCGGUUCGAGUCCGCUAUGCCACC
RNAcentral lists this transfer RNA (73 nucleotides) under Candidatus Levyibacteriota bacterium. RNAcentral's name for it is "tRNA-His". It matches the Rfam family "tRNA". Rfam says of the family: Transfer RNA (tRNA) molecules are approximately 80 nucleotides in length. Their secondary structure includes four short double-helical elements and three loops (D, anti-codon, and T loops). The record is from RNAcentral. Lineage: Bacteria; Candidatus Levyibacteriota.